GACGAACGCUGGCGGCGUGCUUAACACAUGCAAGUCGAACGGAAAGGCCCUGCUUUUGUGGGGUGCUCGAGUGGCGAACGGGUGAGUAACACGUGAGUAACCUGCCCUUGACUUUGGGAUAACUUCAGGAAACUGGGGCUAAUACCGGAUAGGAGCUCCUGCUGCAUGGUGGGGGUUGGAAAGUUUCGGCGGUUGGGGAUGGACUCGCGGCUUAUCAGCUUGUUGGUGGGGUAGUGGCUUACCAAGGCUUUGACGGGUAGCCGGCCUGAGAGGGUGACCGGCCACAGUGGGACUGAGAUACGGCCCAGACUCCUACGGGAGGCAGCAGUGGGGAAUAUUGCACAAUGGGCGGAAGCCUGAUGCAGCAACGCCGCGUGCGGGAUGACGGCCUUCGGGUUGUAAACCGCUUUCGCCUGCGACGAAGCGUGAGUGACGGUAAUGGGUAAAGAAGCACCGGCUAACUACGUGC
RNAcentral lists this ribosomal RNA (469 nucleotides) under uncultured bacterium. RNAcentral describes it as "partial 16S ribosomal RNA". It matches the Rfam family "Bacterial small subunit ribosomal RNA", at positions 28 to 508 of the family's 1533-position model. The record is from RNAcentral.